GUGAGCCUAAUCCCUCGCUUCUACCAUCGCUCUUUCAACCUUCGAUCUCCUCUCCUCAACUCUAGCCCUCUCCUAUUCAGCCCUUUGGAAUUGAUGCUCAGCCUGCUUCAACCUUUCGCUAGUAGGAGCUGGUGUUGUCCAUGGGCAUCCAAAUGGCAUCGAUUCCCUAUAAGCAGAAAGAGGAUCAAUUUGACCAGCUACUGAAAAACUCAAAAUAUUAAAACUCAUAUUCUUAUCUCCAUGGAGGUGUGGCAUAAUGAGGAGAUGGCACUCUCAACUGACCUCAUCUGCUCCUCUUCCUUGUUAGGGAGGAGUCCUCUAACCAUCUCCUAGGUUAUUUGAGGAUCUGGUGGAGCACCAAGUCGAAAACUUUGAUCUACUAGUUAGGUCAGAAUAUCACCG
Molecule: long non-coding RNA, 402 nt
Filed under: Elaeis guineensis (African oil palm)
Lineage: Eukaryota; Viridiplantae; Streptophyta; Magnoliopsida; Arecales; Arecaceae
Description: long non-coding RNA (EGUI_LNC070849)
Source: RNAcentral